AACGAACGCUGGCGGCAGGCCUAACACAUGCAAGUCGAGCGAGGACUUCGGUUCUAGCGGCGGACGGGUGAGUAACGCGUGGGAAUGUGCCCUUCUCUACGGAAUAUCCCUGGGAAACUGGGAGUAAUACCGUAUACGCCCUAUUGGGGAAAGAUUUAUCGGAGAAGGAUCAGCCCGCGUUGGAUUAGGUAGUUGGUGGGGUAAUGGCCUACCAAGCCGACGAUCCAUAGCUGGUCUGAGAGGAUGAUCAGCCACACGGGGACUGAGACACGGCGCAGACUCCGACGGGAGGCAGCAGUGGGGAAUGUUGGACAAUGGGCGAAAGCCUGAUCCAGCAAUGCCGCGUGUGCGAAGAAGGCCUUCGGGUGGUAAAGCACGUUUGUCCGGAAAGAAAUACUUGGCCCGAAGACGGUCGGGGGAUGACGGUACCGGAAGAAUAAGCACCGGCUAACUACGUG
Molecule: ribosomal RNA, 458 nt
Filed under: uncultured bacterium
Lineage: Bacteria
Description: partial 16S ribosomal RNA
Rfam family: Bacterial small subunit ribosomal RNA
Source: RNAcentral